This 798-nucleotide non-coding RNA is filed under the name Hypocassida meridionalis. Lineage: Eukaryota; Metazoa; Arthropoda; Insecta; Coleoptera; Chrysomelidae. The record is from RNAcentral.
GAAAGAAAAUCUCAUUUACUAGGGAGGAAACGCAUUCAUAGUCUAAUUUUUAAAAAAAAUUCAAAAAAUUUAAUUUUUGUUGGGUAUUUUAGUAUAAAUUUUUUUUAUAUAUGUGAAUUUUUUAAAAAAUUUUUUAUUUUUACAAUAUUGAGAUUUAAAUAUUAGGUUAUUCUAGAUUUAGGGAUAUUUAUUAGUACUAACAAAAUUUGUGCCAGCAGUUGCGGUUAUACCAAUAGUACAUCUAAAAUUUUUUGGUUAUGAUUAAUUGAUUUUAAUAAAAAAAUUGAUAUUUGGAGGUGAAAUAUAAAUAUUAACUUUUUUGUUUAAUUUUUUGAGGUCAGUAAAUUAAUUAAUAGACUAGGAUUAGAUACCCUAUUAUUAGAACUUAAAUUUAUUACCAUAUGAUUAUUAGCUAUGUUCUUUAAAGUAAAAAAAUUUGGCGGUAUUCUAAUCUUUUUAGAGGAACCUGUUCUGUAAUUGAUGAUCCACGAUUAUAUUUACUUGAUUUUUUAAUUUACAUAUCGUUGUUUAAAACAUUUUUUUUGAAUAUGUUUUUUUAUUAUUUAAUAAUACAGUUCAGAUCAAGGUGUAGUUUAUAAUCAAGAAGAAAUGGGUUACAUUAAUUUUAAUUGGGGAUUUCAAUUUUUAUUUUUGGAUGAAUUUGGAUUUAAUAGUAAAUUUUAAUAUAUAUUAAUUUUGAUUUUAGCCCUAGAAUAUGUACAUAUCGCCCGUCGCUUUCAAUUAAGUUGAAAUAAGUCGUAACAAAGUAGAUUUACUGGAAAGUGAAUCUUGUUGACA